GAUGAAGAACGUAGCGAAAUGCGAUAAGUAAUGUGAAUUGCAGAAUUCAGAGAAUCAUCGAAUCUUUGAACGCACAUUGCGCCCGCCAGUAUUCUGGCGGGCAUGCCUGUUCGAGCGUCAUUACAACCCUCAGGCCCCCGGGCCUGGCGUUGGGGAUCGGCGGAAGCCCCCUGCGGGCACAACGCCGUCCCCCAAAUACAGUGGCGGUCCCGCCGCAGCUUCCAUUGCGUAGUAGCUAACACCUCGCAACUGGAGAGCGGCGCGGCCACGCCGUAAAACACCCAACUUCUGAAUGUUGACCUCGAAUCAGGUAGGAAUACCCGCUGAACUUAAGCAUAUCAAUAAGCGGAGGA
RNAcentral lists this unclassified non-coding RNA (353 nucleotides) under soil metagenome. RNAcentral's name for it is "partial contains 5.8S ribosomal RNA, internal transcribed spacer 2, and large subunit ribosomal RNA". The stretch from base 1 to 120 matches the Rfam family "5.8S ribosomal RNA", at positions 35 to 154 of the family's 154-position model. The record is from RNAcentral.